RNAcentral lists this ribosomal RNA (330 nucleotides) under Thorellius intrepidus. RNAcentral's name for it is "partial 12S ribosomal RNA". The record is from RNAcentral. Lineage: Eukaryota; Metazoa; Arthropoda; Arachnida; Scorpiones; Vaejovidae.
UAAAACUUAUAAAAUUAGGUAGUAAAGGAAUUUCUGAAACCUAAAGAAUUUGGCGGUAUUUUAAAUAAUUGGAGGAACCUGUUAUUUAAUUGACAACCCACAACAUAUCUUUCCUAAAUUUCACUUGUAUAUCGUCGUUUUGAUAAUAUUUAAAAAUUAUAAUCAGUAUUAAUAAAUUUUUAAAAAUCAGAUCAAGGUGCAGUAUAUUUAGGUUAUAAUGGGUUACAAUAUAUGAAUAUAUAAUGGAUGUAAGUUUGAAAUAAUAUUGAAAGUGGAUUCAAAAGUAAUAUUAAAUUAAAAUGUUAAUUUGAUUAAUAAUUUAAAAUAUGC